Molecule: ribosomal RNA, 339 nt
Filed under: Triticum aestivum (bread wheat)
Lineage: Eukaryota; Viridiplantae; Streptophyta; Magnoliopsida; Poales; Poaceae
Description: partial small subunit ribosomal RNA
Source: RNAcentral
AUGGCAUCGUUCGGCGAGGCGCCGGCAGGCAACGCCGCGAGCGGCGAGAAGAUCUUCAAGACCAAGUGCGCGCAGUGCCACACGGUGGAGCGCGGCGGCGCCCACAAGCAGGGCCCCAACCUCAGCGGCCUCUUCGGCCGCCAGUCCGGCACCACCGCCGGAUAUGCCUACUCCACCGCCAACAAGAGCAUGGCCGUCGUCUGGGAGGAAAACACCCUCUACGACUACCUCCUCAACCCUAAGAAGUACAUCCCUGGGACCAAGAUGGUGUUCCCGGGCCUCAAGAAGCCGCAGGAGCGCGCCGACCUCAUCGCAUACCUCAAGAAAUCCACCGCUUAA